RNAcentral lists this unclassified non-coding RNA (217 nucleotides) under plant metagenome. RNAcentral describes it as "partial contains small subunit ribosomal RNA, internal transcribed spacer 1, and 5.8S ribosomal RNA". The record is from RNAcentral.
UCUCCGUAGGUGAACCUGCGGAGGGAUCAUUACAAGUGACCCCGGUCUUACCACCGGGAUGUUCAUAACCCUUUGUUGUCCGACUCUGUUGCCUCCGGGGCGACCCUGUCUUCGGGCGGGGGCUCCGGGUGGACACUUCAAACUCUCGCGUAACUUUGCAGUCUGAGUAAACUUAAUUAAUAAAUUAAAACUUUUAACAACGGAUCUCUUGGUUCUG